Molecule: ribosomal RNA, 254 nt
Filed under: uncultured bacterium
Lineage: Bacteria
Description: partial 16S ribosomal RNA
Rfam family: Bacterial small subunit ribosomal RNA
Source: RNAcentral
CACGUAGGGUGCGAGCGUUGUCCGGAAUUAUUGGGCGUAAAGAGCUCGUAGGCGGUGUGUCGCGUCGGCCGUGAAAACCUGUAGCUUAACUGUGGGCUUGCGGUCGAUACGGGCAUCACUGGAGUUCGGCAGGGGAGACUGGAAUUCCUGGUGUAGCGGUGAAAUGCGUAGAUAUCUGGAGGAACACCGGUGGCGAAGGCGGCAUCCUGGACCGGUAUUGACGCUGAGGCGCGAAAGCCAGGGGAGCAAACGGG